RNAcentral lists this ribosomal RNA (253 nucleotides) under uncultured prokaryote. RNAcentral describes it as "partial 16S ribosomal RNA". It matches the Rfam family "Bacterial small subunit ribosomal RNA", at positions 525 to 777 of the family's 1533-position model. The record is from RNAcentral.
ACGGAGGAUGCAAGUGUUAUCCGGAAUCACUGGGCGUAAAGCGUCUGUAGGUGGUUUGAGAAGUCCACUGUUAAAAAUUGAGGCUUAACCUCAAAGAUGCCGUGGAAACUUUCAAACUUGAGUAUGGUAGGGGUAGAGGGAAUUUCCAGUGGAGCGGUGAAAUGCGUAGAUAUUGGAAAGACCACCGAUGGCGAAGGCACUCUACUGGGCCAUUACUGACACUGAGAGACGAAAGCUAGGGGAGCAAAUGGGA